This is a non-coding RNA of Schistosoma mattheei, 46 nucleotides long. The record is from Rfam. Lineage: Eukaryota; Metazoa; Platyhelminthes; Trematoda; Strigeidida; Schistosomatidae.
GCACUGCUGAGGAGUCACCCAAUAGGACGAAACGGCCGUCCAGUGC